GUCCCUACAUGCAUAAUACAGGGGUUGGACGCGUAACCGGCUUUAAAUAGGGAAUGUACCUGCUUUCGUGUAAGUAGCUGAAUGAACCCAUGGAAUAUUGAUCGUGCUAACUCCCUGCCAGAAGACGGAGUAAUACAGAAGAUCCAAGCGUGAUCCGGAUUUAUUGGGUUUAAAGGGUGCGUAGGCGGCUUAUUAAGUCAGGGGUGAAAGACGGUGGCUCAACCAUCGCAGUGCCCUUGAUACUGAUGAGCUUGAAUACACUAGAGGUAGGCGGAAUGUGACAAGUAGCGGUGAAAUGCAUAGAUAUGUCACAGAACACCGAUUGCGAAGGCAGCUUACUAUGGUGUUAUUGACGCUGAGGCACGAAAGCGUGGGGAUCAAACAGGAUUAGAUACCCUGGUAGUCCACGCCCUAAACGAUGAAUACUCGCUGUUAGCGAUACACAGUUAGCGGCUAAGCGAAAGCGUUAAGUAUUCCCACCUGGGGAGUACGGUCGCAAGAUUGAAACUCAAA
Molecule: ribosomal RNA, 513 nt
Filed under: uncultured prokaryote
Description: bacterial SSU rRNA
Rfam family: Bacterial small subunit ribosomal RNA
Source: RNAcentral